Molecule: long non-coding RNA, 601 nt
Filed under: Pan troglodytes (chimpanzee)
Lineage: Eukaryota; Metazoa; Chordata; Mammalia; Primates; Hominidae
Description: long non-coding RNA NONPTRT009653
Source: RNAcentral
UCCCAGUAGCAAGGAUUUGAACACGUUAUAUUAAUCUAAAAGGUGGAGUUGCUUUGGAACCUUUUAAUUCGAGGUUUCCACUGGAGAGUCCUGUUGGGAAAUGUGUGUGUGGAGGGAGGGGAGGAAGGAGAAAAGUCCGUCUCCUUAAUGUGAGCGGUCCAGGACCUCCCCACCCCCCAUAUACCCUUCCACUGGGAUUUUUCCGGGAAGGAUGAAAGGACAGGAGUUCUGGGGCCGGAAGGCAGGGCGGGUCCCUGAGCCCGGAGCCUCCCAGUGGAAGGCUACUGGGCGAACCUGAAGGGGACCCAGGCAGGAGGAAAAACCAGAGAACCCCAGGAGUGCCUGUUUUGCAAUAAGGCUUUAAGCAGAGUGGGUUGGGUUUAAAUAAACAAAACUCAGCUGCAGCCAGUGGGUUCAGGUGUGGGCCUGCUUUAGGACAGUGGCGCAAUCUCAGCUCAAUGCAACCUCCACCUCCUGGGUUCAAGCAAUUCUCCUGCCUCAGCCUCCGGAGUAGCUGGGAUUAUAGGCACACACCACCAGUCCUGACUAACGUGUGUAUGUUUGGUAGAGACAGGGUUUCGCCAUGUUGGCCAGGCUGGUC